AUUGAACGCUGGCGGCAGUCCUAACACAUGCAAGUCGAACGGUAACAGGAAGCAGCUUGCUGCUUCGCUGACGAGUGGCGGACGGGUGAGUAAUGUCUGGGAAACUGCCUGAUGGAGGGGGAUAACUACUGGAAACGGUAGCUAAUACCGCAUAACGUCGCAAGACCAAAGAGGGGGACCUUAGGGCCUCUUGCCAUCGGAUGUGCCCAGAUGGGAUUAGCUAGUAGGUGGGGUAACGGCUCACCUAGGCGACGAUCCCUAGCUGGUCUGAGAGGAUGACCAGCCACACUGGAACUGAGACACGGUCCAGACUCCUACGGGAGGCAGCAGUGGGGAAUAUUGCACAAUGGGCGCAAGCCUGAUGCAGCCAUGCCGCGUGUAUGAAGAAGGCCUUCGGGUUGUAAAGUACUUUCAGCGGGGAGGAAGGGAGUAAAGUUAAUACCUUUGCUCAUUGACGUUACCCGCAGAAGAAGCACCGGCUAACUCCGUG
This 490-nucleotide ribosomal RNA is filed under the name uncultured bacterium. RNAcentral's name for it is "partial 16S ribosomal RNA". It matches the Rfam family "Bacterial small subunit ribosomal RNA", at positions 30 to 507 of the family's 1533-position model. The record is from RNAcentral.